RNAcentral lists this long non-coding RNA (7433 nucleotides) under Carica papaya (papaya). Its description in RNAcentral is "long non-coding RNA (CPAP_LNC003444)". Lineage: Eukaryota; Viridiplantae; Streptophyta; Magnoliopsida; Brassicales; Caricaceae. The record is from RNAcentral.
GAUGAUGAUGAUGUUAUUGCUUUCGUAUAUUGUUUUAUGAAUUUCACCGAGGUAAGUGAAUGGUAAAGGUUUUAUUAUUAAUAAAAGGAUUUGUUGUAAAUUAUACUCCAUUGGUCUUUUUGUGUUUUCUACCCACCUUUACCUCCGUGACGGUGAGAUAUCGUGAUGUCUUUACUGGGCUAGUGUAGCUCAUUCCUUAUUUAAUCAUUUCAGAUCAAGAGGACAUCGUUCCCGAGCCGGUUCCGCAGGAGGACGACGAAGGGGACGCCUAAAGACUCCAUAGUCAUAUUCGUAGCUUUUACUUUCAAGUUUUUCCUUUAGGUAGUUUGAUCUUUUAUAUUUUGUGAGCACGUUUUUGGUUUUAGUGUAAGGGAUGUUAUUCAAAUUUUGACUUCGCUUCCGCAUUUGAUAUUUAUAAUAUAAAUUUCAUUUUAAAUUUCUGGGGCUGCUACAGUUGGUAUCAGAGCCGCAUUUCUUCGGACCCAUCCCUUACACUAAUGUGCCUUAGAGAAAUACUCACCGAUAUAUUGUUACGCAAUCAUUCCUUGUGAAUGCAGGUACACGGGAAUGAGGAGAGGAAGGCCCCCACUAAACCGAGCGGCCCCAGAUAAUUCACUUCGGGAGUAUUUAGAUAGACUAUUCGAGAUGGUGGAGGCUCUUGCAGCUGCCCAGCAAAGGCAAGAGGAGAGAAGGGAGUUACCGGGACCUCCUCCGCUAGCGCAGGUUGAGCCCCCGCUGCAGCAGGCUGAUCCCGAGCCACCCCGGCAGGAGCCUGUUCCUCCACAGUACCACCCGACACCACAGCCGCGGUACGAUCCGGUACCACAGCCACAGUACCAACAGGUGCCGCCACAGCACAUUCCAGUGCCCCCACCACAUCAGCAGGCGCCACCACAGGGUCCCCCAGUUCACCCUCAGUCGGCCCCAGUCCCUCUACCUCGGACCCCGCUCCCUCCUUGAUCGACCCCAGCUUCAUAGAGAGGUACAGAAGACUGAACCCUUCUACUUUUUCAGGGGGAUCCUCUUUCGAAGAGGCCCAAUACUGGCUGGCAGAGACUGAGAGAGCUUUUGAGACCUUGGGAGUAGUUUCUGAGCAGAGGGCUGCCAUUGCCUCCUAUAUUUUGGUAGGGGAAGCAGUACGCUGGUGGGAGCUCAAGCGGGUCACCCUGCCUGUACCAGUUACUUGGGAGCAGUUCCUAGCGGCCUUCCAUGCGGAGUAUCUCCCUAAACACAUCCAACAUUUAAAGGAAAUGGAAUUUCUUCAAUUGGUCCAGGGAAAUAUGACAGUGUCGGAGUAUGCCCGCAAGUUCCUGGAGCUGGGUCGACAUGCCCCGGAGACAUUGUUGGAUGAGGGCCGAAAGGCCAGAAAAUUCCAGUGGGGUCUCCGCCCGGCGAUCAGACAGCACUUAUUGGUGAUGGAGCUUGAGACAUAUUCGGCAGUCCUGGCAAAGGCGCAGAUCAUAGAAAGGAGCUUCGACACCCGCCAUCAGCUAGCGAAAAGUUCCCGACCCUCAGCCCCGCUCCGCAGGCCAGCGCCUACCAUGCCUGUCCAACCCAGUAAGAGGCCCAGACCUGCCGUCCAGGCCCCUCCUCAGGCUAUGGGGGCAGCACGUGGGAAGAUUUGUCAGUACUGCGGCAGGGAUCAUGGGGACCGACCCUGCUACCGCCUCAACAACACCUGUCGUAUAUGCGGCAAUGCCCAGCACUAUGCGAGGGAGUGCCGUAGGAACCAGAAUCAAGGGAGGCCUCCAAUCCAGGGCAGAGUUUACAACCUUACCCAGAAGGAUGCCGACGCAGACCCGGACGUGGUACAUGGUAUGUAUACUAUCUCUGGCCACAUUGCUCAUGUUUUGUUUGAUACUGGUGCAUCACAUUCUUUUAUUUCACAUGUUCUUGCUUCCAAAAUUUGUGUAUCACCUGAUAGACUUGAUUCAUUAUUGCUUGUAUCUACCGCUGGGGGGGAGACAUUGCUAGGAGAGGUUGUCUAUAGGGCAUGUGCCGUGGAGAUAGCAGAUAGGAAAUUGAGGGUAGACCUGAUAGGGUUAGACACAAGGGAUUUUGAUGUAAUCCUAGGAAUGGAUUGGCUAGCGGCGUAUCACGCCACCAUAGACUGCUUUAACAAAAAGAUUGUAUUUAAUCCUCCCAACGAUGAGCCAUUUACAAGUUAAUAAAAUUAUUCGGUACUGAUUUCCCCUAAUGGCAAAUUCUUUUCUUCUUAAUUCCCAGUGCCUUAAUAUUGUAUUUUCUCUAACUAGGUAAACCCAAGAAAGAAGUUUGUAUCCAAGAGAUUCCAGUAGUCCGAGACUUUCCAGACGUAUUUCCGGAUGAACUGCCCGGUCUACCAGGGGACAGAAAGGUCGAGUUCACCAUAGACUUACUGCCAAGAACCCAGCCCAUCUCGGUAGCUCCUUACCGAAUGAGCCGCAUCGAGAUGGAAGAGCUAAGGAAACAAAUCACUGAGCUACAAAACAGUGGCUUCAUUAGACACAGCAUUUCCCCAUGGGGUGCCGGGGUUACCUUUGCAAAGAAAGGGGAGGGAACGUUGAGACUGUGCAUUGAUUAUAGAAGGAUAAACAAGGUAACAAUUAAGAACAAGUACCCUCUUCCCCGGAUUGAUGACCUUUUCGAUCAGUUGCAGGGUGCACAGGUCUUUUCCAAAAUAGAUCUACGAUCAGGUUACCAUCAGGUAAAAGUGAGAGCCGAAGACAUCCCCAAGACGGCAUUCCGAACCAGGUACGGACACUAUGAGUUCCUGGUUAUGCCGUUUGGGCUAACCAACGCCCCGGCCAUCUUUAUGGAUCUAAUGAACAGAAUCUUUAGAGAAUUCUUGGAUCAAUUUGUCAUCGUGUUCAUCGAUGAUAUCUUAGUCUACUCAAAAAGUAGGGAAGAACAUGCUCAUCAUCUUGCCGAAGUCCUACAGGUUCUCAGGGAAAAGAAGUUGUAUGCGAAGUUGAGCAAGUGUGGAUUUUGGCUCGAACAAACCGCCUUCCUAGGACAUGUUAUAUCGAAGGAAGGGGUGUCGGUGAACCCCGAAAAGGUUGAAGCGGUACUUGGUUGGGAAAGACUGACAAUAGUUAAGGAAAUUCGCAGUUUUCUAGGGAUGGCAGGUUAUUACCGCCGGUUUAUCGAAGGGUUCUCUAGUCUAGCAGCUCCUCUGACCCGACUCACAAAGAAGAAUGCAAGUUUGAAUGGAAUGAGAACUGCGAGAGGAUUUUUUCAGAGUUGAAGAAGCGACUGACUACUGCACCAGUGCUGGCUCUACCGAGUGGAUCAGAGGGUACACAGUUUAUAGUGAUGCCUCAUAUCUGGGCCUGGGUUGUGUCCUAAUGCAGCAUGGAAAGGUUAUAGUAUAUGGGUCUAGACAGCUAAAGAAUCAUGAGAAGAACUAUCCUACCCACGACUUGGAGCUUGCCGCAAUCAUACACGCCUUGAAAACCUGGCGCCAUUAUUUGUAUGGAGAGACCUUUCAGAUCUACACCGAUCAUAAGAGUUUGAAGCAUAUCUUCACUCAGAAGGAUCUCAACAUGCGUCAGAGAAGGUGGAUGGAACUCCUCAAGGACUAUGAUUGUGACAUCCUAUACCAUCCAGGUAAGGGCAACGUGGUGGCCGAUGCCCUCAGCAGGAAAAGUGCAGGCACCGUAGCCCAUCUGAUGGUUUCAAAAUGUAGGUCCAUUGGGGCUACACAGCAGGUUCGCCUGCGAGACCUGAAGAGAGUCACAUGUUUGGGCCACCUAGCAGUCCAACCCGAGUUAAUCCAAAGAAUAAAGGAAGCCCAGUCAGUCGACCCCGCCCUAGUAACCCGCAAUAAGAAUGCAGAACAGGGAGUGAGCUCAGAAUUUCAGAUCUCUGCCGACGGAUUGAUUCGUUUCAAGGACAGAGUGUGUGUCCCAGACGACAGUGAGUUAAAAAGAGACAUCAUGACAGAGUCCCAUAGUUCAAGGUUCGCAAUGCAUCCAGGAAGUACGAAAAUGUACCAAACUAUGCGACCUCGGUUCUGGUGGAAUGGGAUGAAGAGAGAUAUAGCCGACUUUGUAUCUAAGUGCUUGGUAUGUCAGCAGGUCAAAGCAGAACAUCAACGCCCGGGCGGGUUACUUCAGCCUUUACCGAUUCCAGAGUGGAAGUGGGAACACAUCACCAUGGACUUCGUAUUGGGACUACCCAAGGCACGAUCGGGACAUGAUGCUAUAUGGGUAAUUGUUGACCGACUCACUAAGUCUUCCCACUUCUUGGCCAUCAGAAUGAUUGAUCCUUUGGAUAAGUUGGCAAGAAUGUAUAUCCGGGAGGUAGUCAGACUGCAUGGAGUUCCAGUAACAGUGGUAUCCGACAGGGAUCCCAGAUUCACUUCUCGGUUUUGGAAUAGUUUCCAGCAAGCUAUGGGAACAAAGCUGUCUCUUAGUACUGCUUUCCACCCCCAAACUGAUGGACAAUCAGAGAGGACAAUUCGUACGCUAGAGGAUAUGCUCCGAGCUUGUGUCCUUGACUCCGGGGGCCAUUGGGACGACCACCUACCCCUGAUAGAGUUUGCUUACAACAACAGUUACCAAGCAAGCAUCGGCAUGGCCCCAUACGAGGCGCUAUACGGGCGUCCGUGCAGGUCACCGAUCUGUUGGGAAGAAGUGGGCGAUAGAAGAUUGUUUGGCCCGGAUUUGGUAGAAGAAACCACGUCCAAGAUAGUUAAGAUCAAGAAGAACAUCCAGACAGCUUAGAGUAGGCAGAAGAGUUAUGCUGAUACCCGGAGGAGAGACCUGGCUUUUGAGAAAGGCGACCGGGUGUUUCUUAAAGUCACCCCCUUCAAGGGAAUUAGUAGGUUCGGCAGGAGGGGAAAAUUAAACCCCAGAUAUAUUGGACCCUUUGAAAUCUUAGACAAGAUUGGUACCACUGCCUACAGACUUGCACUGCCUCCUGAGCUCUCCCGGGUUCAUAAUGUGUUUCACGUAUCUAUGCUACGUAAGUACAAUCCGGACCCUUCUCAUGUCUUGGCUCAUGAACCGCUUCCACUCCGAGAGGACUUGUCUUAUGAAGAAGUACCGGUCGGUAUCACAGACUAAGAGAGCAGAAUACUCCGCAACCGGGAAAUAUCAUUUGUAAAAGUCGUGUGGCAGAACCACACGCCCAAGGAGGCCACCUGGGAACUGGAAUCAUAAUUUAGGGCCCAAUAUCCCCAUCUGUUCGAUCAAGAGUAACGAGGCAAAUUUGGGGACCAAAUUUCUUUAAGGGGGGGAGAGUUAUAGCGCCCGGGAAAAAUUGAAGAAGGAAAAAAAAAACGCUCGUGCCACGUUAGCAGACCCAGUCAGCAGGCCUGGCCAACCAGGACCUGCCACGUGGCAAAACCACAUCGACCGGGGACGGGCCACGUUGGCGAUCCGCGUGCGCGCGAUCCGACGGCACAGAUCAAUCGCGCGCACGGACGGCCCAGAUUUAAUCAAAAACGGACGGCCCAGAUUAAAACAAAAUGGACGGCUGAGAUCAAAAGGCAAAAGGGUAUAAAUAAGACCCCCACACCAGACCCCAAACCCUAGCCGCCUGCCCUCGCCGGAGAAGACGAACCAGAAGCCGGUCGCCGCCACCCGCCGCCGCACCGGAGGGAUUUCCGACCGCCGAUCGAAGUAAAUUUCAUACUCCUGACUCGUUUUUCCACGAUGAUUUCCCCAGUGGCCAAAUCGGAGCCAAAAUCCCAGCCAAACGGCCAGAAAACACGGCCGAAAGCCAGCGGCGCCGCCGCGCCCCUUCUCAGUUUUUGCCUCCAAUGAGGCCCUUCCCGGCCUCCGUUUAAUGCAAUUUUUAUAUCACCGUGAUCACCAUUCUUUUCUCUACAGGUUGAUCGGAGCCGAAUCACCAAAACACGAACUUCAUCGGAGAGCCGCCGCACCCGAGAGCACCGCCGCCGGUAAGCUUCGGUUUUCCGUAAAUUUUCGGCCCCACGAGGGCCGUAGGGUUGUUUUAUCGCAGGAACCAAUGCGAGUGUGGCCGAAUUCGGCCGGAAACGGCCAACCCGAGGCAAACCGCCGCCGCAAGCGGCGGAGCCGCCGUGCCGGAGUUGCGAUAUUGGCCGAAAGGGGCCCUGGGCCUAAUUUGGGAUUUUUUGGAACACGUGCAGGUACCAGUAGUGCGUUUCAGUUCCCCGAGAAAAAUUCAGGAAAAAUUAGGGACAGCCUGCAAGCGCACUGUGAAGCCGUGUUCGGACCCCGAAACGAGUAAGGACCCCUCACCUUAUUUCCUAUCACGGUUUUAAAGUUCAAUAAGUGAUAAAACGGUAUUUCAUGAAUCAACGAAUGUGUGAAAUUGCUUAAGGUCGCUAAUGGAGCCCGAGUCUAGUGUGUUUGUCGGUUAACUGUUAUUUGGCCUGUUUUACAGUUUUAAAUGCAGCAUGAGGUUCGAUGUUUUCAUUUUAUAGUUUCGUGUGCAUAUUUUACUGUUUUAUUGAUUAUGGAUUGAAUGACCGAGAUAUUGAUGCUGUAUGUUGUCUGUUUGGCAUAAAUUAUCGUUUUGCUUGUUUGUAUGUGAUUGAUAAUACUGACUGAGGGAAAAGGAGAAUGAAAGAUUAUGUAAAUAGAAAUUGUAUAAUGUGUUCAGCCUGACUACAUAUCCUGGGAGAUGGUGGACGGACCGGGUCCGUAGGGAACCCUACCGGGAUUGUGGUCUCCCAUACCGGACGGGGUAUGGAGAUCUUAUGUGUUUUGGCGUCCAUACCGGACGGGGUAUGGGGAUGGCCUGUUUCACCCUCAUACCGGACGGGGUAAUGAGGUCUAUGUUUUGGCGCCCAUACCGGACGGGGUAUGGGGAUGGCCAGUUUCACCUUCAUACCGGACGGGGUAAUGAGGUCUAUGGUUUGGCGCCCAUACCGGACGGGGUAUGGGGAUGACCAGUUUCACCCUCAUACCGGACGGGGUAAUGAGGUCUAUGGUUUGGCGUCCAUACCGGACGGGGUAUGGGGACGGCCCUGGAAUGGAUUUCAAGUGUUAAGGAUUAACGGGUAGCGGGACCCCUAUGAAUCCCCAUGGAUACUAGUGGGCUGGUGAAUUAGGAAAAUAUGUUGUGUAACGAUUGAAUUACGAAAAGUUUGAUAGGUAUUAUGUUAUACAGUUCAUAUAUAUGUUUUCAUGAUGAUGAUGAUGUUAUUGCUUUCGUAUAUUGUUUUAUGAAUUUCACCGAGAUAAGUGAAUGGUAAAGGUUUUAUUAUUAAUAAAAGGAUUUGUUGUAAAUUAUGCUCCAUUGGUCUUUUUAUGUUUUCUACCCACCUUUACCUCCGUGACGGUGAGAUAUCGUGAUGUCUUUACUGGGCUAGUGUAGUUCAUUCCUUAUUUAAUCAUUUCAGAUCAAGAGGACAUCGUUCCCGAGCCGGUUCCGCAGGAGGACGACGAAGGGGACGCCUAAAGACUCCAUAGUCAUAUUCGUAGCUUUUACUUUCAAGUUUUUCCUUUAGGUAGUUUGAU